CAGGCUUAACACAUGCAAGUCGAGGGGCAGCAUGGUCUUAGCUUGCUAAGGCCGAUGGCGACCGGCGCACGGGUGAGUAACACGUAUCCAACCUGCCGUCUACUCUUGGACAGCCUUCUGAAAGGAAGAUUAAUACAAGAUGGCAUCAUGAGUCCGCAUGUUCACAUGAUUAAAGGUAUUCCGGUAGACGAUGGGGAUGCGUUCCAUUAGAUAGUAGGCGGGGUAACGGCCCACCUAGUCUUCGAUGGAUAGGGGUUCUGAGAGGAAGGUCCCCCACAUUGGAACUGAGACACGGUCCAAACUCCUACGGGAGGCAGCAGUGAGGAAUAUUGGUCAAUGGGCGAGAGCCUGAACCAGCCAAGUAGCGUGAAGGAUGACUGCCCUAUGGGUUGUAAACUUCUUUUAUAAAGGAAUAAAGUCGGGUAUGGAUACCCGUUUGCAUGUACUUUAUGAAUAAGGAUCGGCUAACUCCGUGCCAGCAGCCGCGGUAAUACGGAGGAUCCGAGCGUUAUCCGGAUUUAUUGGGUUUAAAGGGAGCGUAGAUGGAUGUUUAAGUCAGUUGUGAAAGUUUGCGGCUCAACCGUAAAAUUGCAGUUGAUACUGGAUAUCUUGAGUGCAGUUGAGGCAGGCGGAAUUCGUGGUGUAGCGGUGAAAUGCUUAGAUAUCACGAAGAACUCCGAUUGCGAAGGCAGCCUGCUAAGCUGCAACUGACAUUGAGGCUCGAAAGUGUGGGUAUCAAACAGGAUUAGAUACCCUGGUAGUCCACACGGUAAACGAUGAAUACUCGCUGUUUGCGAUAUACAGCAAGCGGCCAAGCGAAAGCGUUAAGUAUUCCACCUGGGGAGUACGCCGGCAACGGUGAAACUCAAAGGAAUUGACGGGGGCCCGCACAAGCGGAGGAACAUGUGGUUUAAUUCGAUGAUACGCGAGGAACCUUACCCGGGCUUAAAUUGCAGAUGAAUUACGGUGAAAGCCGUAAGCCGCAAGGCAUCUGUGAAGGUGCUGCAUGGUUGUCGUCAGCUCGUGCCGUGAGGUGUCGGCUUAAGUGCCAUAACGAGCGCAACCCUUGUUGUCAGUUACUAACAGGUUCCGCUGAGGACUCUGACAAGACUGCCAUCGUAAGAUGUGAGGAAGGUGGGGAUGACGUCAAAUCAGCGCGGCCCUUACGUCCGGGGCUACACACGUGUUACAAUGGGGGGUACAGAGGGCCGCUACCACGCGAGUGGGUGCCAAUCCCCAAAACCUCUCUCAGUUCGGACUGGAGUCUGCAACCCGACUCCACGAAGCUGGAUUCGCUAGUAAUCGCGCAUCAGCCACGGCGCGGUGAAUACGUUCCCGGGCCUUGUACACACCGCCCGUCAAGCCAUGGGAGCCGGGGGUACCUGAAGUGCGUAACCGCGAGGAGCGCCCUAGGGUAAAACUGGUGACUGGGGCUAAGUCAUAAC
This 1445-nucleotide ribosomal RNA is filed under the name uncultured organism. Its description in RNAcentral is "16S ribosomal RNA". It matches the Rfam family "Bacterial small subunit ribosomal RNA". The record is from RNAcentral.